Molecule: ribosomal RNA, 430 nt
Filed under: uncultured marine bacterium 311
Lineage: Bacteria
Description: bacterial SSU rRNA
Rfam family: Bacterial small subunit ribosomal RNA
Source: RNAcentral
AGCGCACCCCUAUCCUUAUUUGCCAGCGCAUAAUGGCGGGAACUAUAAGGAGACUGCCGGUCAUAAACCGGAGGAAGGCGGGGACGACGUCAAGUCAUCAUGGCCCUUAUGGGUAGGGCUACACACGUGAUACAAUGGGUGGUACAGAGGGUCGCCAAAGCGCGAGCUGGAGCCAAACCCUUAAAACCAUUCUUAGUCCGGAUUGGAGUCUGCAACUCGACUCCAUGAAGUCGGAAUCGCUAGUAAUCGCGAAUCAGAAUGUCGCGGUGAAUACGUUCUCGGGCCUUGUACACACCGCCCGUCACGUCAUGGAAGUGGGUUGCACCAGAAGUGGCUUGUUUAACCUUCGGGAAAACGGUCACCACGGUGUGAUUCACAACUGGGACGAAGUCGUAACAAGGUAGCCCUAGGGGGACCUGGGGCUGGAUCA